UACGUAGGGGGCAAGCGUUGUCCGGAUUUAUUGGGCGUAAAGAGCGUGUAGGCGGCCUGACAGGUCUGCUGUGAAAACUCGAGGCUCAACCUCGAGAUGUCGGCGGGAAACCGUCUGGCUAGAGUCCGGAAGAGGAGAGUGGAAUUCCUGGUGUAGCGGUGAAAUGCGCAGAUAUCAGGAAGAACACCGUGGCGAAGGCGGCUCUGGCGG
RNAcentral lists this ribosomal RNA (210 nucleotides) under uncultured bacterium. Its description in RNAcentral is "partial 16S ribosomal RNA". It matches the Rfam family "Bacterial small subunit ribosomal RNA", at positions 524 to 737 of the family's 1533-position model. The record is from RNAcentral.